GAUGAACGCUGGCGGCGUGCCUAAUACAUGCAAGUCGAGCGAACAGAUGAGGAGCUUGCUCCUCUGACGUUAGCGGCGGACGGGUGAGUAACACGUGGAUAACCUACCUAUAAGACUGGGAUAACUUCGGGAAACCGGAGCUAAUACCGGAUAAUAUAUUGAACCGCAUGGUUCAAUAGUGAAAGACGGUUUUGCUGUCACUUAUAGAUGGAUUCGCGCCGCAUUAGCUAGUUGGUAAGGUAACGGCUUACCAAGGCAACGAUGCGUAGCCGACCUGAGAGGGUGAUCGGCCACACUGGAACUGAGACACGGUCCAGACUCCUACGGGAGGCAGCAGUAGGGAAUCUUCCGCAAUGGGCGAAAGCUUGACGGAGCAACGCCGCGUGAGUGAUGAAGGUCUUCGGAUCGUAAAACUCUGUUAUUAGGGAAGAACAAAUGUGUAAGUAACUAUGCACGUCUUGACGGUACCUAAUCAGAAAGCCACGGCUAACUACGUG
RNAcentral lists this ribosomal RNA (497 nucleotides) under uncultured bacterium. RNAcentral's name for it is "partial 16S ribosomal RNA". It matches the Rfam family "Bacterial small subunit ribosomal RNA", at positions 28 to 507 of the family's 1533-position model. The record is from RNAcentral.